UUGGGGUUGGACUCCGCAUGGACGAAGUCUGACGGAGCAACGCCGCGUGAGUGAUGAAGGUUUUCGGAUCGUAAAGCUCUGUUGUUAGGGAAGAACAAGUGCAAGAGUAACUGCUUGCACCUUGACGGUACCUAACCAGAAAGCCACGGCUAACUACGUGCCAGCAGCCGCGGUAAUACGUAGGUGGCAAGCGUUGUCCGGAAUUAUUGGGCGUAAAGGGCUCGCAGGCGGUUUCUUAAGUCUGAUGUGAAAGCCCCCGGCUCAACCGGGGAGGGUCAUUGGAAACUGGGAAACUUGAGUGCAGAAGAGGAGAGUGGAAUUCCACGUGUAGCGGUGAAAUGCGUAGAGAUGUGGAGGAACACCAGUGGCGAAGGCGACUCUCUGGUCUGUAACUGACGCUGAGGAGCGAAAGCGUGGGGAGCGAACAGGAUUAGAUACCCUGGUAGUCCACGCCGUAAACGAUGAGUGCUAAGUGUUAGGGGGUUUCCGCCCCUUAGUGCUGCAGCUAACGCAUUAAGCACUCCGCCUGGGGAGUACGGUCGCAAGACUGAAACUCAAAGGAAUUGACGGGGGCCCGCACAAGCGGUGGAGCAUGUGGUUUAAUUCGAAGCAACGCGAAGAACCUUACCAGGUCUUGACAUCCUCUGACAACCCUAGAGAUAGGGCUUUCCCUUCGGGGACAGAGUGACAGGUGGUGCAUGGUUGUCGUCAGCUCGUGUCGUGAGAUGUUGGGUUAAGUCCCGCAACGAGCGCAACCCUUGAUCUUAGUUGCCAGCAUUCAGUUGGGCACUCUAAGGUGACUGCCGGUGACAAACCGGAGGAAGGUGGGGAUGACGUCAAAUCAUCAUGCCCCUUAUGACCUGGGCUACACACGUGCUACAAUGGACAGAACAAAGGGCUGCGAGACCGCAAGGUUUAGCCAAUCCCACAAAUCUG
RNAcentral lists this ribosomal RNA (936 nucleotides) under Bacillus sp. YAAN11. RNAcentral describes it as "bacterial SSU rRNA". It matches the Rfam family "Bacterial small subunit ribosomal RNA", at positions 349 to 1284 of the family's 1533-position model. Lineage: Bacteria; Bacillati; Bacillota; Bacilli; Caryophanales; Bacillaceae. The record is from RNAcentral.